AGAAUCAACGCUGGCGGCGUGCCUAACACAUGCAAGUCGAACGAGAAAAGGGAGCAAUCCCUGAGUACAGUGGCGACCGGGUGAGUAACACGUGACUAACCUACCCUCGAGUGUGGAAUAACAUCGGGAAACCGAUGCUAAUACCGCAUAACAUCGCAAGAUCAAAGGAGUAAUCCGCUUGAGGAGGGGGUCGCGGCUGAUUAGCUAGUUGGCGGGGUAAUGGCCCACCAAGGCGAAGAUCGGUAUCCGGCCUGAGAGGGCGCACGGACACACUGGAACUGAAACACGGUCCAGACUCCUACGGGAGGCAGCAGUGGGGAAUUUUGCGCAAUGGGGGAAACCCUGACGCAGCAACGCCGCGUGGAGGAUGAAGCCCCUUGGGGCGUAAACUCCUUUCGACCAAGACGAUUAUGACGGUACUGGUGGAAGAAGCACCGGCUAACUCUGCGCCAGCAGCCGC
Molecule: ribosomal RNA, 460 nt
Filed under: uncultured bacterium
Lineage: Bacteria
Description: SSU rRNA
Rfam family: Bacterial small subunit ribosomal RNA
Source: RNAcentral